RNAcentral lists this ribosomal RNA (112 nucleotides) under Danio rerio (zebrafish). The record is from RNAcentral. Lineage: Eukaryota; Metazoa; Chordata; Actinopteri; Cypriniformes; Danionidae.
CUCCACGACCAUAUCACCACCCAAGACUGGUUACUCACUGAAGCUAAGCAGGGCUGAGCCUUGUCUGUACCUGGAUGGGAGACCACAUGGGAAAACCUGGUUUCUGUUGGAG